UAGGGAAUCUUCGGCAAUGGACGGAAGUCUGACCGAGCAACGCCGCGUGAGUGAAGAAGGUUUUCGGAUCGUAAAGCUCUGUUGUUAGAGAAGAACGUUGGUAGGAGUGGAAAAUCUACCAAGUGACGGUAACUAACCAGAAAGGGACGGCUAACUACGUGCCAGCAGCCGCGGUAAUACGUAGGUCCCGAGCGUUGUCCGGAUUUAUUGGGCGUAAAGCGAGCGCAGGCGGUUCUUUAAGUCUGAAGUUAAAGGCAGUGGCUUAACCGUUGUACGCUUUGGAAACUGGAGGACUUGAGUGCAGAAGGGGGGAGUGGAAUUCCAUGUGGAACAGUGAAAUGCGUAGAUAUAUGGAGGAACACCGGUGGCGAAAGCGGCUCUCUGGUCUGUAACUGUCGCUGAGUCUCGAAAGCGUGGGGAGCAAACAGG
RNAcentral lists this ribosomal RNA (429 nucleotides) under Bacillota bacterium. RNAcentral describes it as "Firmicutes bacterium partial 16S ribosomal RNA". It matches the Rfam family "Bacterial small subunit ribosomal RNA", at positions 355 to 776 of the family's 1533-position model. The record is from RNAcentral. Lineage: Bacteria; Bacillati; Bacillota.